RNAcentral lists this unclassified non-coding RNA (2125 nucleotides) under Bombyx mandarina (wild silkworm). RNAcentral describes it as "homeobox protein homothorax-like, transcript variant X1". Lineage: Eukaryota; Metazoa; Arthropoda; Insecta; Lepidoptera; Bombycidae. The record is from RNAcentral.
ACAGGUUCAUAAACGCGAGACGUAGGAUAGUCCAACCAAUGAUCGACCAAUCAAAUAGAGCAGUGUUCCCGCACGCCGGUCCCAGCGGCGCGUACAGCCCCGAGGCGACCAUGGGCUACAUGAUGGACGGGCAGCAGAUGAUGCACAGGCCGCCCACAGACCCCGCCUUCCACCAGGGCUACGCGCACUACCCGGCCGAGUAUUACGGACACCACCUCUAAUGCACCGAGCAUCUUUGUACAUAUAUGAAUACAAGUCACACCCUCCGACUCCCGGUGGUGACGAGGGUCGUGAGCAUCCAGCACACGAUACAGAGAGGCCGCGCGCGACACCGACGCGGCAACAACGCGACGGCGACACGCCACACUUACAGGAGAACUAUGCUAAAAUAUGUAAAUAAAUAAAUAAAUAAAGGAUAACGUAAACGCGAAACAUUUUGUAAUAUUUGAAACAGUAUACGAUCUCCUAAAUUAAGAUAAAAGUCAACUGUAAUAUUAAAAAUUAACGAGAGAAAAAAAAAACAUCUUUGUAAAUGUAAACUUGAAGUGACAUGGACGCUGAUUGGUGCGGCACACCUCGGGAGGUUUCACCAUCGCGGGAACUGCGAGGAGUCGACGUCUGUAACAAUAAUGUGGUUUCAUAGUUAUCUUAUAAAUAUUUAUAGCUAAAUGUGUAUUGUUAUUACGUAAAUAUAAAUAAAUAAUUGAUUAGUUGUAAGUUGUAAUUAUCACUUGAAGCAAUCGGUUUGAUGUCGGCGGGAAGGUGUACGACGCGUUUUCUGUUCUGUAAACGAAUCGUGUAACUAAUUAUGAUUUCUUUCGAAAACCAUGUCCGUGACGAGCGCCGAUACGUGCCCAUCAAGGCGGCUAAGUUUGCAGGUCAAUCGAUCGUCAGUCCCGACUGACGACUUCGUUCCGUUUUGAUGAGCACGUCUCGUCGUAUAGUAUAAACGUUACAUGUCUCCAGAGUGUUGCAUCUUUAUCUAAUCAUUUAUUAAUAAAUUGUCAAGCUCAAAUCGUACUUCUAGAGGAAUGUCAAUUUAUUAUCCACAUUUCUUAUGACACAGUUUUUAUUCGUUUUCCCACACAUAAAAUACAUAUCUUUGAAUUUUAUAUAUUUAUUGUAUAUGUAAAAAAAUAAUAUUAUAUAUGUGGAAAAUACCAUUGAUUUUUCACGUUUUGCCUUUAUGUACUAUACUAUAGCACAAUUGUAACCAAUGUAUACGAACACAAAAUGUAUUUUACAAUGUUAUUGAAAGAUUUUUAGGUAUAUUUUUCGUCUUAAAGAUUAUACCGUUGUAACAGCCUUCUGUGUUACCAAGAGAUUAAUAAAGUACAGAUUAAAAAUAUCGUAUAUCAAAAGUGCCGUGUCUGUGUCAGUUCGUAAGUCUGGAGCAAUUCUAAAAUAAGUGUUAUGUAACAGUGAAACAUGAUGGAAAAAAAAAAAACAAUAUUUUUAGUCUGGAUUUUUUAACAAAUCGUGUGGUAGGUCACGACUGACAAUUUUAGCAGUUUCGUUCUAGAUUUUUCCAGUUCCGUGGUAAAUAAUUUUACUUUAGAAAAAUCUAAAAGUCGUCAACAUAUCUGUAUGUUGCUAUCUACGUUAAAUGUUAUUUCUUUAAGUCAUUAAAAUAUGGAAACUGGCGAGUAUUAAUACUUUAAAUUACCACGGAACAAUCAUCAUGUGAAUGUCGAUCAACUGAUAGAGCCUGUGAACUUUAAUAACAUACGAAUUCCCCAUUUUUUCCCGUAAAGUAAGAAAAGGAAAGCUUUUGUACAAUUUGUGAACGGAUCGAUAUUCCCAUUAUGAGCUUUUGGUAAUAAAUUUUAUAAAUAAAUUAAAAGUAAUGCACCGCAUUACGGCCUUAUGCUAUGUAUACGAGGAGGAAAGCUAUUAAAAUAUGAGAAUUGACCGCGGCUAACGACAAAAAGCGGUUUUUAUAGGCAAAUAAAAUAAUCCAAACAAGCUUUAUUAUAUGGUAGGGUAAAUGACGAAAUAUCUUGUGUUGAUUCAUCAUUAUUGUGACACGCUUGUUUCCUAAUAGAUAGGUAUCUUGCUGUUAACGAAAAAUUGACUUUGAAGCCUCAAAAUUAUUUUGAAACGAACCAUAAAAAUAAGAUAGAUA